CCUACGGGUGGCUGCAGUGGGGAAUAUUGCACAAUGGGCGCAAGCCUGAUGCAGCCAUGCCGCGUGUGUGAAGAAGGCCUUCGGGUUGUAAAGCACUUUCAGCGGGGAGGAAGGCGUUAAGGUUAAUAACCUUGGCGAUUGACGUUACCCGCAGAAGAAGCACCGGCUAACUCCGUGCCGGCAGCCGCGGUAAUACGGAGGGUGCAAGCGUUAAUCGGAAUUACUGGGCGUAAAGCGCACGCAGGCGGUCUGUCAAGUCGGAUGUGAAAUCCCCGGGCUCAACCUGGGAACUGCAUUCGAAACUGGCAGGCUAGAGGCUUGUAGAGGGGGGUAGAAUUCCAGGUGUAGCGGUGAAAUGCGUAGAGAUCUGGAGGAAUACCGGUGGCGAAGGCGGCCCCCUGGACAAAGACUGACGCUCAGGUGCGAAAGCGUGGGGAGCAAACAGGAUUAGAUACCCCAGUAGUC
RNAcentral lists this ribosomal RNA (465 nucleotides) under uncultured Klebsiella sp. RNAcentral's name for it is "bacterial SSU rRNA". It matches the Rfam family "Bacterial small subunit ribosomal RNA", at positions 338 to 795 of the family's 1533-position model. The record is from RNAcentral. Lineage: Bacteria; Pseudomonadati; Pseudomonadota; Gammaproteobacteria; Enterobacterales; Enterobacteriaceae.